RNAcentral lists this transfer RNA (67 nucleotides) under Ophiarachnella infernalis. RNAcentral's name for it is "tRNA-Tyr". It matches the Rfam family "tRNA". Rfam says of the family: Transfer RNA (tRNA) molecules are approximately 80 nucleotides in length. Their secondary structure includes four short double-helical elements and three loops (D, anti-codon, and T loops). The record is from RNAcentral. Lineage: Eukaryota; Metazoa; Echinodermata; Ophiuroidea; Amphilepidida; Ophiodermatidae.
UUAUAAAGUGGCUGAAUAAUAGGCGUUAGUUUGUAAAACUAGUUAUGGGGAUUUCCUCCUUUAUAAG